This 610-nucleotide ribosomal RNA is filed under the name uncultured bacterium. Its description in RNAcentral is "bacterial SSU rRNA". The stretch from base 1 to 536 matches the Rfam family "Bacterial small subunit ribosomal RNA", at positions 338 to 873 of the family's 1533-position model. The record is from RNAcentral.
CCUACGGGAGGCAGCAGUAAGGAAUAUUGGUCAAUGGGCGCAAGCCUGAACCAGCCAUGCCGCGUGCAGGAAGACGGCCCUAUGGGUUGUAAACUGCUUUUGAACAAGAGAAAACCUCGGUACGUGUACCGAGCUGAUAGUAUUGUUAGAAUAAGCAUCGGCUAACUUCGUGCCAGCAGCCGCGGUAAGACGAAGGAUGCAAGCGUUAUCCGGAUUCAUUGGGUUUAAAGGGUGCGUAGGCGGACCGAUAAGUCAGUGGUGAAAUCUCUCAGCUUAACUGAGAAACUGCCAUUGAUACUGUCAGUCUAGAGUAUAGAUGAUGUGGGCGGAAUAUGACAUGUAGUGGUGAAAUACUUAGAUAUGUCAUAGAACACCGAUUGCGAAGGCAGCUCACAAAACUAUAACUGACGCUGAGGCACGAAAGUGCGGGGAUCAAACAGGAUUAGAUACCCUGGUAGUCCGCACCGUAAACGAUGAUUACUCGUUGUUGGCAAUAUGACCCGUCAGCGACCAAGCGAAAGCGANAAGAAUACACCNCGGAGGACGCGGCGACGAGAACGACAANAGAGUAGUACGACGNGAGAGNGCGACGACGACACGAGGGAGGAGG